AAAUUGAAGAGUUUGAUCAUGGCUCAGAUUGAACGCUGGCGGCAGGCCUAACACAUGCAAGUCGAACGGUAGCAGGAAGAAGCUUGCUUCUUUGCUGACGAGUGGCGGACGGGUGAGUAAUGUCUGGGAAACUGCCUGAUGGAGGGGGAUAACUACUGGAAACGGUAGCUAAUACCGCAUAACGUCGCAAGACCAAAGAGGGGGACCUUCGGGCCUCUUGCCAUCGGAUGUGCCCAGAUGGGAUUAGCUAGUAGGUGGGGUAACGGCUCACCUAGGCGACGAUCCCUAGCUGGUCUGAGAGGAUGACCAGCCACACUGGAACUGAGACACGGUCCAGACUCCUACGGGAGGCAGCAGUGGGGAAUAUUGCACAAUGGGCGCAAGCCUGAUGCAGCCAUGCCGCGUGUAUGAAGAAGGCCUUCGGGUUGUAAAGUACUUUCAGCGGGGAGGAAGGGAGUAAAGUUAAUACCUUUGCUCAUUGACGUUACCCGCAGAAGAAGCACCGGCUAACUCCGUGCCAGCAGCCGCGGUAAUACGGAGGGUGCAAGCGUUAAUCGGAAUUACUGGGCGUAAAGCGCACGCAGGCGGUUUGUUAAGUCAGAUGUGAAAUCCCCGGGCUCAACCUGGGAACUGCAUCUGAUACUGGCAAGCUUGAGUCUCGUAGAGGGGGGUAGAAUUCCAGGUGUAGCGGUGAAAUGCGUAGAGAUCUGGAGGAAUACCGGUGGCGAAGGCGGCCCCCUGGACGAAGACUGACGCUCAGGUGCGAAAGCGUGGGGAGCAAACAGGAUUAGAUACCCUGGUAGUCCACGCCGUAAACGAUGUCGACUUGGAGGUUGUGCCCUUGAGGCGUGGCUUCCGGAGCUAACGCGUUAAGUCGACCGCCUGGGGAGUACGGCCGCAAGGUUAAAACUCAAAUGAAUUGACGGGGGCCCGCACAAGCGGUGGAGCAUGUGGUUUAAUUCGAUGCAACGCGAAGAACCUUACCUGGUCUUGACAUCCACGGAAGUUUUCAGAGAUGAGAAUGUGCCUUCGGGAACCGUGAGACAGGUGCUGCAUGGCUGUCGUCAGCUCGUGUUGUGAAAUGUUGGGUUAAGUCCCGCAACGAGCGCAACCCUUAUCCUUUGUUGCCAGCGGUCCGGCCGGGAACUCAAAGGAGACUGCCAGUGAUAAACUGGAGGAAGGUGGGGAUGACGUCAAGUCAUCAUGGCCCUUACGACCAGGGCUACACACGUGCUACAAUGGCGCAUACAAAGAGAAGCGACCUCGCGAGAGCAAGCGGACCUCAUAAAGUGCGUCGUAGUCCGGAUUGGAGUCUGCAACUCGACUCCAUGAAGUCGGAAUCGCUAGUAAUCGUGGAUCAGAAUGCCACGGUGAAUACGUUCCCGGGCCUUGUACACACCGCCCGUCACACCAUGGGAGUGGGUUGCAAAAGAAGUAGGUAGCUUAACCUUCGGGAGGGCGCUUACCACUUUGUGAUUCAUGACUGGGGUGAAGUCGUAACAAGGUAACCGUAGGGGAACCUGCGGUUGGAUCACCUCCUUACCUUAAAGAAGC
RNAcentral lists this ribosomal RNA (1554 nucleotides) under Escherichia coli. RNAcentral describes it as "bacterial SSU rRNA". It matches the Rfam family "Bacterial small subunit ribosomal RNA". The record is from RNAcentral. Lineage: Bacteria; Pseudomonadati; Pseudomonadota; Gammaproteobacteria; Enterobacterales; Enterobacteriaceae.